This 2903-nucleotide ribosomal RNA is filed under the name Escherichia coli. RNAcentral's name for it is "bacterial LSU rRNA". It matches the Rfam family "Bacterial large subunit ribosomal RNA". The record is from RNAcentral. Lineage: Bacteria; Pseudomonadati; Pseudomonadota; Gammaproteobacteria; Enterobacterales; Enterobacteriaceae.
UUAAGCGACUAAGCGUACACGGUGGAUGCCCUGGCAGUCAGAGGCGAUGAAGGACGUGCUAAUCUGCGAUAAGCGUCGGUAAGGUGAUAUGAACCGUUAUAACCGGCGAUUUCCGAAUGGGGAAACCCAGUGUGAUUCGUCACACUAUCAUUAACUGAAUCCAUAGGUUAAUGAGGCGAACCGGGGGAACUGAAACAUCUAAGUACCCCGAGGAAAAGAAAUCAACCGAGAUUCCCCCAGUAGCGGCGAGCGAACGGGGAGCAGCCCAGAGCCUGAAUCAGUGUGUGUGUUAGUGGAAGCGUCUGGAAAGGCGCGCGAUACAGGGUGACAGCCCCGUACACAAAAAUGCACAUGCUGUGAGCUCGAUGAGUAGGGCGGGACACGUGGUAUCCUGUCUGAAUAUGGGGGGACCAUCCUCCAAGGCUAAAUACUCCUGACUGACCGAUAGUGAACCAGUACCGUGAGGGAAAGGCGAAAAGAACCCCGGCGAGGGGAGUGAAAAAGAACCUGAAACCGUGUACGUACAAGCAGUGGGAGCACAGAGCAAUCUGUGUGACUGCGUACCUUUUGUAUAAUGGGUCAGCGACUUAUAUUCUGUAGCAAGGUUAACCGAAUAGGGGAGCCGAAGGGAAACCGAGUCUUAACUGGGCGUUAAGUUGCAGGGUAUAGACCCGAAACCCGGUGAUCUAGCCAUGGGCAGGUUGAAGGUUGGGUAACACUAACUGGAGGACCGAACCGACUAAUGUUGAAAAAUUAGCGGAUGACUUGUGGCUGGGGGUGAAAGGCCAAUCAAACCGGGAGAUAGCUGGUUCUCCCCGAAAGCUAUUUAGGUAGCGCCUCGUGAAUUCAUCUCCGGGGGUAGAGCACUGUUUCGGCAAGGGGGUCAUCCCGACUUACCAACCCGAUGCAAACUGCGAAUACCGGAGAAUGUUAUCACGGGAGACACACGGCGGGUGCUAACGUCCGUCGUGAAGAGGGAAACAACCCAGACCGCCAGCUAAGGUCCCAAAGUCAUGGUUAAGUGGGAAACGAUGUGGGAAGGCCCAGACAGCCAGGAUGUUGGCUUAGAAGCAGCCAUCAUUUAAAGAAAGCGUAAUAGCUCACUGGUCGAGUCGGCCUGCGCGGAAGAUGUAACGGGGCUAAACCAUGCACCGAAGCUGCGGCAGCGACACUGUGUGUUGUUGGGUAGGGGAGCGUUCUGUAAGCCUGCGAAGGUGUGCUGUGAGGCAUGCUGGAGGUAUCAGAAGUGCGAAUGCUGACAUAAGUAACGAUAAAGCGGGUGAAAAGCCCGCUCGCCGGAAGACCAAGGGUUCCUGUCCAACGUUAAUCGGGGCAGGGUGAGUCGACCCCUAAGGCGAGGCCGAAAGGCGUAGUCGAUGGGAAACAGGUUAAUAUUCCUGUACUUGGUGUUACUGCGAAGGGGGGACGGAGAAGGCUAUGUUGGCCGGGCGACGGUUGUCCCGGUUUAAGCGUGUAGGCUGGUUUUCCAGGCAAAUCCGGAAAAUCAAGGCUGAGGCGUGAUGACGAGGCACUACGGUGCUGAAGCAACAAAUGCCCUGCUUCCAGGAAAAGCCUCUAAGCAUCAGGUAACAUCAAAUCGUACCCCAAACCGACACAGGUGGUCAGGUAGAGAAUACCAAGGCGCUUGAGAGAACUCGGGUGAAGGAACUAGGCAAAAUGGUGCCGUAACUUCGGGAGAAGGCACGCUGAUAUGUAGGUGAAGUCCCUCGCGGAUGGAGCUGAAAUCAGUCGAAGAUACCAGCUGGCUGCAACUGUUUAUUAAAAACACAGCACUGUGCAAACACGAAAGUGGACGUAUACGGUGUGACGCCUGCCCGGUGCCGGAAGGUUAAUUGAUGGGGUCAGCGCAAGCGAAGCUCUUGAUCGAAGCCCCGGUAAACGGCGGCCGUAACUAUAACGGUCCUAAGGUAGCGAAAUUCCUUGUCGGGUAAGUUCCGACCUGCACGAAUGGCGUAAUGAUGGCCAGGCUGUCUCCACCCGAGACUCAGUGAAAUUGAACUCGCUGUGAAGAUGCAGUGUACCCGCGGCAAGACGGAAAGACCCCGUGAACCUUUACUAUAGCUUGACACUGAACAUUGAGCCUUGAUGUGUAGGAUAGGUGGGAGGCUUUGAAGUGUGGACGCCAGUCUGCAUGGAGCCGGCCUUGAAAUACCACCCUUUAAUGUUUGAUGUUCUAACGUUGACCCGUGAUCCGGGUUGCGGACAGUGUCUGGUGGGUAGUUUGACUGGGGCGGUCUCCUCCUAAAGAGUAACGGAGGAGCACGAAGGUUGGCUAAUCCUGGUCGGACAUCAGGAGGUUAGUGCAAUGGCAUAAGCCAGCUUGACUGCGAGCGUGACGGCGCGAGCAGGUGCGAAAGCAGGUCAUAGUGAUCCGGUGGUUCUGAAUGGAAGGGCCAUCGCUCAACGGAUAAAAGGUACUCCGGGGAUAACAGGCUGAUACCGCCCAAGAGUUCAUAUCGACGGCGGUGUUUGGCACCUCGAUGUCGGCUCAUCACAUCCUGGGGCUGAAGUAGGUCCCAAGGGUAUGGCUGUUCGCCAUUUAAAGUGGUACGCGAGCUGGGUUUAGAACGUCGUGAGACAGUUCGGUCCCUAUCUGCCGUGGGCGCUGGAGAACUGAGGGGGGCUGCUCCUAGUACGAGAGGACCGGAGUGGACGCAUCACUGGUGUUCGGGUUGUCAUGCCAAUGGCACUGCCCGGUAGCUAAAUGCGGAAGAGAUAAGUGCUGAAAGCAUCUAAGCACGAAACUUGCCCCGAGAUGAGUUCUCCCUGACUCCUUGAGAGUCCUGAAGGAACGUUGAAGACGACGACGUUGAUAGGCCGGGUGUGUAAGCGCAGCGAUGCGUUGAGCUAACCGGUACUAAUGAACCGUGAGGCUUAACCUU